GACGAACGCUGGCGGCGUGCUUAACACAUGCAAGUCGAACGGUGAAGUAGAGCUUGCUCUAUGGAUCAGUGGCGAACGGGUGAGUAACACGUGGGCAACCUGCCCCAGACUCUGGGAUAACUCCUCGAAAGAGGGGCUAAUACCGGAUAUUUGCAUUGCAAGACAUCUUGUGAUGCAGUAAGAAUUUCGGUCUGGGAUGGGCCCGCGGCCUAUCAGCUUGUUGGUGAGGUAACGGCUCACCAAGGCGACGACGGGUAGCCGGCCUGAGAGGGCGACCGGCCACACUGGGAAUGAGACACGGCCCAGACUCCUACGUGAGGCAGCAGUGGGGAAUAUUGGGCAAUGGGCGCAAGCCUGACCCAGCAACGCCGCGUGAGGGAUGAAGGUCCUCGGAUUGUAAACCUCUUUCAGCAGGGACGAAGCGAAAGUGACGGUACCUGCAGAAGAAGCACCGGCUAACUACGUGCCAGCCGCCGCAGUAA
RNAcentral lists this ribosomal RNA (482 nucleotides) under uncultured bacterium. RNAcentral's name for it is "partial 16S ribosomal RNA". It matches the Rfam family "Bacterial small subunit ribosomal RNA", at positions 28 to 523 of the family's 1533-position model. The record is from RNAcentral.